UGGGGAAUAUUGGACAAUGGGGGCAACCCUGAUCCAGCAAUGCCGCGUGAGUGAUGAAGGCCUUCGGGUUGUAAAGCUCUUUUGCCAGGGACGAUAAUGACGGUACCUGGAGAAUAAGCCCCGGCUAACUUCGUGCCAGCAGCCGCGGUAAUACGAAGGGGGCUAGCGUUGUUCGGAAUUACUGGGCGUAAAGGGCGCGUAGGCGGUUUGAUUAGUCAGAUGUGAAAUUCCCGGGCUUAACCUGGGCGCUGCAUUUGAUACUGUCAGGCUUGAAUUCAGGAGAGGAUAGCGGAAUUCCCAGUGUAGAGGUGAAAUUCGUAGAUAUUGGGAAGAACACCGGUGGCGAAGGCGGCUAUCUGGACUGACAUUGACGCUGAGGCGCGAAAGCGUGGGGAGCAAACAG
This 403-nucleotide ribosomal RNA is filed under the name uncultured bacterium. RNAcentral describes it as "bacterial SSU rRNA". It matches the Rfam family "Bacterial small subunit ribosomal RNA", at positions 355 to 775 of the family's 1533-position model. The record is from RNAcentral.